RNAcentral lists this ribosomal RNA (263 nucleotides) under uncultured bacterium. Its description in RNAcentral is "partial 16S ribosomal RNA". It matches the Rfam family "Bacterial small subunit ribosomal RNA", at positions 793 to 1055 of the family's 1533-position model. The record is from RNAcentral.
GUCCACGCCGUAAACGAUGGGUGCUAGGUGUGGGAGGUGUCGACUCCUUCCGUGCCGUAGCUAACGCAUUAAGCACCCCGCCUGGGGAGUACGGCCGCAAGGCUAAAACUCAAAGGAAUUGACGGGGCCCCGCACAAGCAGCGGAGCAUGUUGUUUAAUUCGAUGCAACGCGAAGAACCUUACCAGGGCUUGACAUGCACUGGAAAUCCGUAGAAAUACGGCCCUCCUUCGGGACCAGUGCACAGGUGGUGCAUGGCUGUCGU